AAUUUUGGACUAUGCGGGAAACCCUGAUCCAGCCAUCCCGCGUGUAUGAUGAAGGCCUUCGGUUUGUAAAGUACUUUUGGCAGAGAAGAAAAGGUACCUCCUAAUACGAUGUACUGCUGACUGUAUCUGCAUAAUAAGCACCGGCUAACUAAGUGCCAUCAGCCGCUGUAAUACGUAGGGUGCAAGCGUUAAUCGGAAUUACUGGGCGUAACGCGUGUGUAGGCGGUUCGGAAAGAAAGAUGUGAAAUCCCAGGGCUCAACCUUGGAACUGCAUUUUUAACUGCCGAGCUAGAGUAUGUCAGAGGGGGGUAGAAUUCCACGUGUAGCAGUGAAAUGCGUAGAUAUGUGGAGGAAUACCGAUGGCGAAGGCAGCCCCCUGGGAUAAUACUGACGCUCAGACACGAAAGCGUGGGGAGCAAAC
This 421-nucleotide ribosomal RNA is filed under the name uncultured bacterium. RNAcentral's name for it is "partial 16S ribosomal RNA". It matches the Rfam family "Bacterial small subunit ribosomal RNA", at positions 360 to 773 of the family's 1533-position model. The record is from RNAcentral.